Xenia sp. Carnegie-2017 is the source of this 406-nucleotide long non-coding RNA. RefSeq lists it as uncharacterized. The transcript has 3 exons. Lineage: Eukaryota; Metazoa; Cnidaria; Anthozoa; Malacalcyonacea; Xeniidae. The record is from RefSeq and is a predicted model, not a curated record.
UCCUGAUUUAUAUGUUUUUACGAAAACAUGGCGUUGAAGUAUCACGGCACAUGUAGAUUGAUAUUACGAAUAAAAUUCAAGAUUUAUUAAGUGAAUAAGAUUUACAUUCGAUAUAUGGGUUGUCUGUAUACAACUAUUUAGUGAAAUUUAUGAAUUUCUGCAAAAAGGGUGCUGUUAAAGCAGUUGUACCAAGUAUAAUCAAAGGAAAUUGAAAAAGAAAAUGAACUUGCCAAGGUAGAAAUGAAUCCAAUAUAUAUUAAAAGAAAUAUGUAAAAUUAUAAAUAAAAUAAAUUGUAAUAUCCAAUAAAAUAUAAUAAGGAAAUAUAGUAAUAACACAAUGAACACAAUUAACGUUGUUUUUUAAUAAACUACAUUAAUUUGCCUUUAAAUUGGCAAUUUUUGAAAA